This 652-nucleotide small RNA is filed under the name Porites lobata. RNAcentral describes it as "eukaryotic LSU rRNA". The stretch from base 241 to 394 matches the Rfam family "5.8S ribosomal RNA". Lineage: Eukaryota; Metazoa; Cnidaria; Anthozoa; Scleractinia; Poritidae. The record is from RNAcentral.
GGUGAACCUGCGGAAGGAUCAUUACCGAUGUGAAAAAAUCCAAGGUUAAACAUCAUUAACCAGUGUGAACUGUACAACAACUCUUUAGGGGUCGGCACAGGCGUGUGUCGUUAAAUGGCGGAUAGGUUCCUUCCGCCAGCCCCGCCAUUGUGUUUAUGAUAUCACUUUGAACGUUUAAGACUGAGAACGUAUGUAUCAUGCAUUAAAUGUAUGAGAAAGAAGGAAAGAAAAAUGAGAGACAACUUUUGACGGUGGAUCUCUUGGCUCACGUAUCGAUGAAGAACGCAGCCAGCUGCGAUAUGUAGUGUGAAUUGCAGAAUUCAGUGAAUCAUUGAAUCUUUGAACGCAAAUGGCGCUCUUGGGUUCUCCCAGGAGCAUGUCUGUCUGAGUGUCGGAUUUUAUCGAACGCACUCGUGAGUGCGGUAUUGAGGUGUCACGGCGUGUUAGCAAGCAAGCAAGCAUUAAAUCGCCGUGUCCCUUGAAGGACAGCAGCAUUGGACUCGCAUUCUCUAUUGAAACUUGAGUGCGAAGGCUAAAGAUAAUAUUUUCCUUCGCCCAAGCAUGCAAUAGCAGAAACAAAAUCCAAUCAAAGCGGUGACAGACAAUGACAACAUCAAAUCUUGACCUCAGAUCAGGCAAGGCUACCCGCUGA